Molecule: long non-coding RNA, 343 nt
Filed under: Salmo salar (Atlantic salmon)
Lineage: Eukaryota; Metazoa; Chordata; Actinopteri; Salmoniformes; Salmonidae
Description: lncRNA (ENSSSAG00000111677.1)
Source: RNAcentral
ACAAGAUGCCCGGUCAUGGCUGUCAUUUUUAUCGGACGUGUCUCCCGCGGCUCCUCGUCGCAGAACUAAUUACGGAUAAUGUGCACUUUACCUCCCGCCUUUAACGCAGAAGCCUACAGUUGGCCCGUGCUGUUGGUUGUAUUCUCAUGCAACGAGAGUAAAAAGCAACUCUGUGCACAUGCGUGACCAGAGUUGCUGUCCAGUGCUGAAAUGGAAGAAGGGCGCAUUGGAGGGAAAUGGAGUGCACGAGCAGCUCGUCCUGAUCGCUGUUCAGGUGCUGAACUGGCUGGCUGUUGUUGCCAGUCUCCAAUCACACCACCCAGUAGAGGGACUUAUGCAUCCG